Pelobates cultripes (western spadefoot toad) is the source of this 529-nucleotide non-coding RNA. The record is from the annotation of a GenBank genome assembly. NCBI's taxonomy places the organism in Eukaryota, Metazoa, Chordata, Amphibia, Anura, Pelobatidae.
CCUAACGCCUGGGACAUAACUAAAUCAGUAACCGCUAAGUGAAUUAUCCUCUAAUAUCAGGGCGUCGUUACAUAUACCACACAACAUAGGAAAUGACACACAUAGCGCCCACAUGUCUUAUAUCCUGUUACAGCUCUCCACCUGCUUCUGUCAAAAGAACGCUAUUGUCGGACUCACGUUAUUGAAUCGCCAGCAGGUCUUAGUCAUAGUGACCACUAGCAGACUCGUGGCUUACCCUGUGAGGCUUGGUUACCAGGUGGGUUGGAGUGAGGGUGCUCUUCAGGGCUGUGCCAGGUAAAGGAAAGGGGGAAAACCAGGGAGUGUGACUUCAUCUUUUACAGAAGAAAUUGUGGUGAAUAAGCGGAUUAGCACUUUGAAUUGACUGCUAUAGGAUACAAAAAGCCAAUGUAAGAACUGACAGAGGGGAGAGGUAUGAGAGGAGACAGGAGAGGAAAAUCAGUCUAGUGGCAGCAUUCAUUACAGACUGUAGCGGGGCAGUACGACUUCUGGGAAUUAGGAGAGAGAUACA